UACGUAGGGUGCGAGCGUUGUCCGGAAUUAUUGGGCGUAAAGGGCUCGUAGGCGGUUUGUCGCGUCGGGAGUGAAAACACUGGGCUUAACUCAGUGCUUGCUUCCGAUACGGGCAGACUAGAGGUAUUCAGGGGAGAACGGAAUUCCUGGUGUAGCGGUGAAAUGCGCAGAUAUCAGGAGGAACACCGGUGGCGAAGGCGGUUCUCUGGGAAUGUCCUGACGCUGAGGAGCGAAAGUGUGGGGAGCGAACAGG
RNAcentral lists this ribosomal RNA (253 nucleotides) under uncultured bacterium. RNAcentral describes it as "partial 16S ribosomal RNA". It matches the Rfam family "Bacterial small subunit ribosomal RNA", at positions 524 to 776 of the family's 1533-position model. RNAcentral also lists the same sequence under 1 other name. The record is from RNAcentral.